This 392-nucleotide ribosomal RNA is filed under the name uncultured bacterium. RNAcentral describes it as "bacterial SSU rRNA". It matches the Rfam family "Bacterial small subunit ribosomal RNA", at positions 524 to 916 of the family's 1533-position model. The record is from RNAcentral.
UACGUAGGGUGCGAGCGUUAAUCGGAAUUACUGGGCGUAAAGCGUGCGCAGGCGGUGAUGUAAGACAGAUGUGAAAUCCCCGGGCUCAACCUGGGACCUGCAUUUGUGACUGCAUCGCUAGAGUACGGCAGAGGGGGAUGGAAUUCCAUGUGUAGCAGUGAAAUGCGUAGAGAUAUGGAAGAACAUCGAUGGCGAAGGCAACCCCCUGGGUUAACACUGACGCUCAGGCACGAAAGCGUGGGGAGCAAACAGGAUUAGAUACCCUGGUAGUCCACGCCCUAAACUAUGUAAACUAGUUGUCGGGUCUUAAUAGGCUUGGUAACGUAGCUAACGCGUGAAGAUGACCGCCUGGGGAGUACGGUCGCAAGAUUAAAACUUAAAUGAAUUGACGG